RNAcentral lists this ribosomal RNA (362 nucleotides) under uncultured bacterium. RNAcentral's name for it is "bacterial SSU rRNA". It matches the Rfam family "Bacterial small subunit ribosomal RNA", at positions 110 to 507 of the family's 1533-position model. The record is from RNAcentral.
GUAACGCGUGGGAAUCUGCCCCUUGGUUCGGAAUAACAGUUAGAAAUGACUGCUAAUACCGGAUGAUGACUUCGGUCCAAAGAUUUAUCGCCAAGGGAUGAGCCCGCGUAAGAUUAGGUAGUUGGUGAGGUAAAGGCCUACCAAGCCGACGAUCUUUAGCUGGUCUGAGAGGAUGAUCAGCCACACUGGGACUGAGACACGGCCCAGACUCCUACGGGAGGCAGCAGUGGGGAAUAUUGGACAAUGGGCGAAAGCCUGAUCCAGCAAUGCCGCGUGAGUGAUGAAGGCCUUAGGGUUGUAAAGCUCUUUUACCAGGGAUGAUAAUGACAGUACCUGGAGAAUAAGCUCCGGCUAACUCCGUG